This 271-nucleotide ribosomal RNA is filed under the name uncultured Synergistaceae bacterium. RNAcentral's name for it is "partial 16S ribosomal RNA". It matches the Rfam family "Bacterial small subunit ribosomal RNA", at positions 1114 to 1382 of the family's 1533-position model. The record is from RNAcentral. Lineage: Bacteria; Thermotogati; Synergistota; Synergistia; Synergistales; Synergistaceae.
GUUGCCAGCGGGUCACUGCCGGGCACUCUGGCGGGACGUGCCAUCGACAAGAUGGAGGAAGUGGGGAGUGACGUCAAGUCAUCAUGGCCCUUAUGUCCAGGGCGACACACGUGCUACAAUGGCCGGCACAGCGGAAGCGAGGCAGUGAUGCCAAGCGGAUCCCUUAAAGCCGGUCUCAGUUCGGAUUGAAGUCUGCAACUCGACUUCAUGAAACUGGAAUCGCUAGUAAUCGCAGAUCAGCCAAGCUGCGGUGAAUACGUUCCCGGGCCUU